Molecule: ribosomal RNA, 533 nt
Filed under: uncultured bacterium
Lineage: Bacteria
Description: bacterial SSU rRNA
Rfam family: Bacterial small subunit ribosomal RNA
Source: RNAcentral
GGCCUUGACAUACUAAGAACUUUCCAGAGAUGGAUUGGUGCCUUCGGGAACUUAGAUACAGGUGCUGCAUGGCUGUCGUCAGCUCGUGUCGUGAGAUGUUGGGUUAAGUCCCGCAACGAGCGCAACCCUUUUCCUUAUUUGCCAGCGGGUAAUGCCGGGAACUUUAAGGAUACUGCCAGUGACAAACUGGAGGAAGGCGGGGACGACGUCAAGUCAUCAUGGCCCUUACGGCCAGGGCUACACACGUGCUACAAUGGUCGGUACAAAGGGUUGCUACCUCGCGAGAGGAUGCUAAUCUCAAAAAGCUGAUCGUAGUCCGGAUCGCAGUCUGCAACUCGACUGCGUGAAGUCGGAAUCGCUAGUAAUCGCGGAUCAGAAUGCCGCGGUGAAUACGUUCCCGGGCCUUGUACACACCGCCCGUCACACCAUGGGAGUUUGUUGCACCAGAAGUAGGUAGUCUAACCGCAAGGAGGACGCUUACCACGGUGUGGCCGAUGACUGGGGUGAAGUCGUAACAAGGUAGGCGUAGAUGA